AAUCAACGCUGGCGGCGUGCCUAACACAUGCAAGUCGCACGAGAAAGGGGAGCAAUCCCUGAGUAAAGUGGCGCACGGGUGAGUAACACGUGAAUCAUCUACCUCCGAGUGGGGAAUAACUGAGAGAAAUCUUAGCUAAUACCGCAUAACACUUACGAGUCAAAGCAGCAAUGCGCUUGGAGAGGAGUUCGCGGCCGAUUAGUUAGUUGGCGGGGUAAUGGCCCACCAAGACGAUGAUCGGUAUCCGGCCUGAGAGGGCGCACGGACACACUGGAACUGAAACACGGUCCAGACUCCUACGGGAGGC
This 307-nucleotide ribosomal RNA is filed under the name uncultured bacterium. Its description in RNAcentral is "bacterial SSU rRNA". It matches the Rfam family "Bacterial small subunit ribosomal RNA", at positions 32 to 349 of the family's 1533-position model. The record is from RNAcentral.